This 244-nucleotide ribosomal RNA is filed under the name uncultured bacterium. Its description in RNAcentral is "partial 16S ribosomal RNA". It matches the Rfam family "Bacterial small subunit ribosomal RNA", at positions 524 to 765 of the family's 1533-position model. The record is from RNAcentral.
UACGUAGGGUGCAAGCGUUAAUCGGAAUUACUGGGCGUAAAGCGUGCGCAGGCGGCUUUGCAAGACAGAUGUGAAAUCCCCGGGCUUAACCUGGGAACUGCAUUUGUGGACUGCAUGGCUGGAGUGCGGCAGAGGGGGAUGGAAUUCCGCGUGUAGCAGUGAAAUGCGUAGAUAUGCGGAGGAACACCGAUGGCGGAAGGCAAUCCCCUGGACCUGUACUGACGCUCAUGCACGAAAGCGUGGG